This 1289-nucleotide ribosomal RNA is filed under the name Orsodacne cerasi. Its description in RNAcentral is "16S ribosomal RNA". The stretch from base 1043 to 1202 matches the Rfam family "Archaeal large subunit ribosomal RNA", at positions 2542 to 2701 of the family's 2987-position model. The record is from RNAcentral. Lineage: Eukaryota; Metazoa; Arthropoda; Insecta; Coleoptera; Orsodacnidae.
UAUUUAUUUAUUUAUUAAAUUUAUUAAUUUUUAUAUAUUUAUAAUAAGAAAAUUAAUUUUAAUUAUUAAAUUAGAAAAAAUUAUUUUUAAUUAUAGUUUAUUAGUAUUGUGAAAGAAAAUUAUUUAAAUUUUAAAAAGAAAAAUUAAUUUUUUGUACCUUGUGUAUCAGGGUUUAUUAAAAUGUAAAAUUAUAUUAUUUUAUCUCGAAUUUAAAAGAGCUAAAAAUUUAUUUUUUUAUUGUUGAAUAAAUAUUAAUAAUAAGUUUUUAGUAAUGAAACGUUAUUCGUUUUUAAAUAUAUCUAGUUUUUUAAGAAAAAAAUUUAAUUUAUUUAUUAUUAAUAAAUUUUUAAUUUUUUAAUAUUUUAUUAAUAAUAACUAAUAUUUAAAGGGAUGAGCUUUUAAAUAAAUAUUUAUAAAAAAAUUUAUUUUAAUAAAAUUAUAGGAUUAGAAUUUUUCAUUAUUAAAAAAAUGUUAUAAUUAAUUUAUUUUUUUUAUUAUUUAUAUAAUUAUUUUAGAUUUUUUAUUAAAAUAUUAUUUUUAAUUAAUUAAAUUAAGAAAUAAUGAUAAAAUUAGUAUAUCAAUAAUUUAUUUAAUAUUUUUAUAUUUUUGGUUAAAUAAAGGAAUUCGGCAAAAUAUUUUUCACCUGUUUAUUAAAAACAUGUCUUAUUGUUAAUAAUUUUAAGUUUAACCUGCCCACUGAUUUUUUAAAUGGCCGCGGUAUUUUGACCGUGCAAAGGUAGCAUAAUAAUUAGUUUUUUAAUUAAAAGCUGGAAUGAAGGGUUGGAUGAAAAAAUAGCUGUCUUCUAUUUAAAUUUUAGAAUUUUAUUUUUAAGUUAAAAAGCUUAAAUAUUUUUAAAAGACGAGAAGACCCUAUAGAGUUUUAUAAAUUUAUUUAUAUUAAAUUUUUAGUAUUUUUAACUUAAUUAAUUAAAUUUAUUUAAUUGGGGUGAUUAAAAAAUUUAAUAAACUUUUUUUAUUAUUUUACAUUUAUAUAUGAAUAUUUGAUCCAUAGAUAAUGAUUAUAAGAUAAAAUUACCUUAGGGAUAACAGCGUAAUUUUUUUAGAGAGUUCUAAUCGAUAAAAAAGAUUGCGACCUCGAUGUUGGAUUAAAAUUAAUUUUUGGUGUAGAAGCUAGAAAUAUUAGGUCUGUUCGACCUUUAAAAUUUUACAUGAUCUGAGUUUAAACCGGUGUGAGCCAGGUUGGUUUCUAUCUUUAAAAUAAAAUAAUAUUUUAGUACGAAAGGACCAAAUAUUAAAAUUAUAUUUUUAAUAUUAGAAUAAUAUUAAUU